RNAcentral lists this non-coding RNA (24 nucleotides) under Cricetulus griseus (Chinese hamster). The record is from RNAcentral. Lineage: Eukaryota; Metazoa; Chordata; Mammalia; Rodentia; Cricetidae.
AGGGAUGAAUCAGUGUGGAACAAA